UUGCAUUUAAUUUCGACUUAAAAGAGAGAGUAAGUAUUACUCCUUAUUUAUUUUUUAUAUUAUU
RNAcentral lists this transfer RNA (64 nucleotides) under Apocheima cinerarius. Its description in RNAcentral is "tRNA-Arg". Lineage: Eukaryota; Metazoa; Arthropoda; Insecta; Lepidoptera; Geometridae. The record is from RNAcentral.